GACGAACGCUGGCGGCGUGCUUAACACAUGCAAGUCGAACGGAAAGGCCUUUUCGGAGGUACUCGAGUGGCGAACGGGUGAGUAACACGUGGGUGAUCUGCCCUGCACUCUGGGAUAAGCCUGGGAAACUGGGUCUAAUACCGGAUAGGACCGCACUUUAGUGUGUGUGGUGGAAAGUUUUUUCGGUGUAGGAUGAGCCCGCGGCCUAUCAGCUUGUUGGUGGGGUAAUGGCCUACCAAGGCGGCGCCGGGUAGCCGGACUGAGAGGUUGGUCGGCCACAUUGGGACUGAGAGACGGCCCAGACUCCGACGCGAGGCAGCAGGGGGGAAUAUUGCACAAGGGGCGCAGGCCGGAUGCAGCGACGCCGCGGGGGGGAGGACGGCCUUCGGGUGGAAAAAUCCUUGCGCCAGGGACGAAGCGUUUUGUGACGGUACCUGGAGAAGAAGCACCGGCUAACUACGUG
RNAcentral lists this ribosomal RNA (463 nucleotides) under uncultured bacterium. RNAcentral describes it as "partial 16S ribosomal RNA". It matches the Rfam family "Bacterial small subunit ribosomal RNA", at positions 28 to 507 of the family's 1533-position model. The record is from RNAcentral.